GCAGGUGCGGGUGCUUACCAUGCAGUCGAACGAUGAAGCUGGAGCUUGCUCCGGUGGAUUAGUGGCGAACGGGUGAGUAACACGUGAGUAAUCUGCCCUUGACUCUGGGAUAACUGCGGGAAACUGUAGCUAAUACCGGAUACGACACCUUCGGGCAUCCGAUGGGUGUGGAAAGAAUUUCGGUCAAGGAUGAACUCGCGGCCUAUCAGCUAGUUGGUGAGGUAAUGGCUCACCAAGGCGACGACGGGUAGCCGGCCUGAGAGGGUGACCGGCCACACUGGGACUGAGACACGGCCCAGACUCCUACGGGAGGCAGCAGUGGGGAAUAUUGCACAAUGGGCGCAAGCCUGAUGCAGCAACGCCGCGUGAGGGAUGAAGGCCUUCGGGUUGUAAACCUCUUUUAGUUGGGAAGAAGCGAAAGUGACGGUACCUGCAGAAGAAGCACCGGCUAACUACGUGCCAGCAGCCGCGGUAAUACGUAGGGUGCAAGCGUUGUCCGGAAUUAUUGGGCGUAAAGAGCUCGUAGGCGGUUUGUCGCGUCUGCUGUGAAAAUCCAAGGCUCAACCUUGGACCUGCAGUGGGUACGGGCAAACUAGAGUGCGGUAGGGGAGAAGGGAAUUCCUGGUGUAGCGGUGGAAUGCGCAGAUAUCAGGAGGAACACCGAUGGCGAAGGCACUUCUCUGGGCCGUAACUGACGCUGAGGAGCGAAAGCGUGGGGAGCGAACAGGAUUAGAUACCCUGGUAGUCCACGCCGUAAACGGUGGGUGCUAGUUGUGGGUCACAUUCCACGUGAUCCGUGACGCAGCUAACGCAUUAAGCACCCCGCCUGGGGAGUACGGUCGCAAGACUAAAACUCAAAGGAAUUGACGG
Molecule: ribosomal RNA, 870 nt
Filed under: uncultured Actinomycetes bacterium
Lineage: Bacteria; Bacillati; Actinomycetota; Actinomycetes
Description: bacterial SSU rRNA
Rfam family: Bacterial small subunit ribosomal RNA
Source: RNAcentral